GGACGACAGCCUGCUUCAGAUGUGGGCAGGAGGGACACAUGGCUCGGGAGUGUCCUAGAGCAGCUUUUGUGGCAUAGUCCCAGCAGACAGCUUCUGGUAGUGUGGCUCAGCCAGUAGCUCCAGCCGCGACUCAGGCCAGUGGCAGAGGCCGGAGGAGAGGGGCAUCCUCUUCUUUAGCGGGUUUUAGAGGUGAAGGUCCAUCAGCUCCAGCGCGGAUCUUCACUAUGACUCAGCAGGAGGCGAACACAUCCAACACCGUGGUGUCAGGUAAUCUCAUCAUUGG
RNAcentral lists this long non-coding RNA (283 nucleotides) under Manihot esculenta (cassava). RNAcentral's name for it is "long non-coding RNA (MESC_LNC008717)". The record is from RNAcentral. Lineage: Eukaryota; Viridiplantae; Streptophyta; Magnoliopsida; Malpighiales; Euphorbiaceae.